Corticium candelabrum is the source of this 846-nucleotide long non-coding RNA. RefSeq lists it as uncharacterized. The record is from RefSeq and is a predicted model, not a curated record. Lineage: Eukaryota; Metazoa; Porifera; Homoscleromorpha; Homosclerophorida; Plakinidae. The transcript is spliced from 3 exons.
CGUGUUAAAGAGUGCAACAUGAUCGUGUCUCUGGUUGACAUGAUGCAGUCUCCGACAUGCGAAUCGUCGACUUUCCUAAAGAUCUAGGCGACCUUGUCUCAAACAAGACCUGUUCUAGAAUCUGUUGUCGUUGCACGGUUCAGGAGGAUUACCCAUAGCCUUACAGCUAUUACACUUACACCUGCAUUGUGACAUCACAACUAUCAUGUCUGUGAUUGGCUCAAAAUCAACUUUAUUUCUUGUCGAACGCACGUACCAUCAGACACAUCUCAACACAGUACAGUACACAUAGGAAGGGUCUUGCCAAGGCUCGCCCCAAUGAAGCUAUUCCGACCAAUAGACGAGAAGUGGUGUCAUUACCAACCAAUAGACAACGUGAUGUCAUGAUAAGGCUCCACCUCUCUUUGUUUGUCAGCUGUGCUAUGAGAAUUCAGCCAUCAAUAAACAAUUUAGAUUGUCACUUGAACUAUUGUGGUGGUGCUCCUUGCCACCAUUUAGACAUUUCCCAUGUCUGUAGUUGAUUACAUCAUCAAUACCCAAACCUACAGAUACAAAUAGACAUUGCAAUGUCCAUUCCUAUCAUUAGGUCGACAACCUUCCACUGAAAUGUGACAAAGCUUGAAGAAAAAGGAUGUGGCACCCAAACUGGCAUCCUAACGCCAUCAACACACGGGCACCCCCAGCAGCAGCUUUGGAAUUUGCACAACCCUAUUCAGCAAUGACACUUGCACAACAUUCUUCAGCAACAGCAACAUCAGCAAUAGUACUUGUACUCCCACCACCACCACCAACAGCACCUUUCCCACUUCCAACAGCAGCAGCAACUCUACUAGGAGCAGCAACAGU